Molecule: ribosomal RNA, 465 nt
Filed under: uncultured Klebsiella sp.
Lineage: Bacteria; Pseudomonadati; Pseudomonadota; Gammaproteobacteria; Enterobacterales; Enterobacteriaceae
Description: bacterial SSU rRNA
Rfam family: Bacterial small subunit ribosomal RNA
Source: RNAcentral
CCUACGGGGGGCUGCAGUGGGGAAUAUUGCACAAUGGGCGCAAGCCAGAUGCAGCCAUGCCGCGUGUGUGAAGAAGGCCUUCGGGUUGUAAAGCACUUUCAGCGGGGAGGAAGGCGGUGAGGUUAAUAACCUCAUCGAUUGACGUUACCCGCAGAAGAAGCACCGGCUAACUCCGUGCCAGCAGCCGCGGUAAUACGGAGGGUGCAAGCGUUAAUCGGAAUUACUGGGCGUAAAGCGCACGCAGGCGGUCUGUCAAGUCGGAUGUGAAAUCCCCGGGCUCAACCUGGGAACUGCAUUCGAAACUGGCAGGCUAGAGUCUUGUAGAGGGGGGUAGAAUUCCAGGUGUAGCGGUGAAAUGCGUAGAGAUCUGGAGGAAUACCGGUGGCGAAGGCGGCCCCCUGGACAAAGACUGACGCUCAGGUGCGAAAGCGUGGGGAGCAAACAGGAUUAGAUACCCGUGUAGUC